CGGCGGGCUCUCAGCCAUUUCAAGCGUGGCCACCGACGGGGUGGGUGCCACCACCUCUGGGGUGGCCACCACAACAGUACCCGUGGAUGCAUGCACAGCCUCCUCCUCACCAUGGAUCACAGGUGACGUUACAUGUUUAGUUUUAUGCAAAUAUUGACCAAACACAGCAAUGUAUAUGUAUACAGCCUUAUUUGAAUGAUUGAUGAAUUGCAGGGUUCAGCGUCACAUGCUCAUGGAUCGGAGGGUGGUGUCAACGUUCAAGACUUCCUCGUCCAUGGUGCUGGAGGGAGUGGCCACCUUCCUGGUGGCGGAGGAGGGAGUGGCCAAAACUCCCACAGCCCGCCGGAGUGAUCAGUGAGGAGUGAGUAGUGAGUAGUUAGUAGCUUAUGGACUUAUGGACCCUAAACUUAU
RNAcentral lists this long non-coding RNA (411 nucleotides) under Zea mays. RNAcentral describes it as "long non-coding RNA (ZMAY_LNC003292)". The record is from RNAcentral. Lineage: Eukaryota; Viridiplantae; Streptophyta; Magnoliopsida; Poales; Poaceae.